This 448-nucleotide ribosomal RNA is filed under the name uncultured bacterium. RNAcentral's name for it is "bacterial SSU rRNA". It matches the Rfam family "Bacterial small subunit ribosomal RNA", at positions 29 to 506 of the family's 1533-position model. The record is from RNAcentral.
AUGAACGUUUGCGGCGUGCCUGAUGCAUGCAAGUCGUACGCUUUAAUAUUUCGCAAGAUUUAUUAGGGAGUGGCGGACGGCUGAGUAACACGUAAGUUACCUACCUCUAAGUGGGGGAUAACUUGCCGAAAGGCAAGCUAAUACCGCAUGUGAAGUAUUUUUAAAGCUUUCGAGCGCUUGGAGAUGGGCUUGCGGCUGAUUAGCUAGUUGGUAGGGUAAUGGCCUACCAAGGCGACGAUCAGUAGCUGGUCUGAGAGGACGACCAGCCAGACAGGGACUGCGACACGGCCCUGACUCCUACGGGAGGCAGCAGCAAGGAAUUUUGCGCAAUGGGCGAAAGCCUGACGCAGCGACGCCGCGUGGGGGAUGACGGCUUUCGGGUUGUAAACCCCUUUUCUUGAGGAAGAAUUAUGACUGUACUCAAGGAAUAAGUCAUGGCUAACUACGU